AGCCCAGCUUGCUGGGUGGAUUAGUGGCGAACGGGUGAGUAACACGUGAGUAACCUGCCCUUAACUCUGGGAUAAGCCUGGGAAACUGGGUCUAAUACCGGAUAGGAGCGUCCACCGCAUGGUGGGUGUUGGAAAGAUUUAUCGGUUUUGGAUGGACUCGCGGCCUAUCAGCUUGUUGGUGAGGUAAUGGCUCACCAAGGCGACGACGGGUAGCCGGCCUGAGAGGGUGACCGGCCACACUGGGACUGAGACACGGCCCAGACUCCUACGGGAGGCAGCAGUGGGGAAUAUUGCACAAUGGGCGCAAGCCUGAUGCAGCGACGCCGCGUGAGGGAUGACGGCCUUCGGGUUGUAAACCUCUUUCAGUAGGGAAGAAGCGAAAGUGACGGUACCUGCAGAAGAAGCACCGGCUAACUACGUG
RNAcentral lists this ribosomal RNA (421 nucleotides) under Micrococcus luteus. RNAcentral describes it as "bacterial SSU rRNA". It matches the Rfam family "Bacterial small subunit ribosomal RNA", at positions 72 to 507 of the family's 1533-position model. Lineage: Bacteria; Bacillati; Actinomycetota; Actinomycetes; Micrococcales; Micrococcaceae. The record is from RNAcentral.